AGUGAACGCUGGCGGUAGGCCUAACACAUGCAAGUCGAACGGCAGCACAGUAAGAGCUUGCUCUUACGGGUGGCGAGUGGCGGACGGGUGAGGAAUACAUCGGAAUCUACUUUUUCGGGGGGGAUAACGUAGGGAAACUUACGCUAAUACCGCAUACGACCUACGGGUGAAAGCAGGGGAUCUUCGGACCUUGCGCGAUUGAAUGAGCCGAUGUCGGAUUAGCUAGUUGGCGGGGUAAAGGCCCACCAAGGCGACGAUCCGUAGCUGGUCUGAGAGGAUGAUCAGCCACACUGGAACUGAGACACGGUCCAGACUCCUACGGGAGGCAGCAGUGGGGAAUAUUGGACAAUGGGCGCAAGCCUGAUCCAGCCAUACCGCGUGGGUGAAGAAGGCCUUCGGGUUGUAAAGCCCUUUUGUUGGGAAAGAAAAGCAGCAGGUUAAUACCCCGAUGUUCUGACGGUACCCAAAGAAUAAGCACCGGCUAACUUCGUG
RNAcentral lists this ribosomal RNA (492 nucleotides) under uncultured bacterium. RNAcentral describes it as "partial 16S ribosomal RNA". It matches the Rfam family "Bacterial small subunit ribosomal RNA", at positions 29 to 507 of the family's 1533-position model. The record is from RNAcentral.